Molecule: microRNA, 22 nt
Filed under: Glycine soja
Lineage: Eukaryota; Viridiplantae; Streptophyta; Magnoliopsida; Fabales; Fabaceae
Description: gso-miR3522b
Source: miRBase by way of RNAcentral
UGAGACCAAAUGAGCAGCUGAC